GCUUCUCUUCCUCCGCCGGAGCAUCCGCCGUCACCGGUGCUUCCUCCUCUGCAACUGGCUCUGCUGGUUUUUCGUCUGUUCCUUUUUCUUCUGGUUCUGCCUCGGGCUUGGCUUCUUCUUCAACGACUUCUUUGGUUUCCGGUUCGGGUUCGGGUUCGGGGACAGAUUCGGGUUCUAGGGCCGCGGCGGCUGGUUCUUCCGGCUCGCUAGCUGGAGCUUCCUCCGCUGGUGCUUCUGGCUCUUGAACGGCUUCUACCUCAGCUGGCGCCGCAGCCACUGGCUCUUCUGGUGUGGUUUUCUCUUCAGCCACUGGCUUGGUUGCCGGUGGCGCCUCGCUCUCUGGUAAUGUUGUGGGAGCUGAUUCAACCU
RNAcentral lists this long non-coding RNA (369 nucleotides) under Carica papaya (papaya). Its description in RNAcentral is "long non-coding RNA (CPAP_LNC007603)". The record is from RNAcentral. Lineage: Eukaryota; Viridiplantae; Streptophyta; Magnoliopsida; Brassicales; Caricaceae.